Molecule: ribosomal RNA, 253 nt
Filed under: uncultured bacterium
Lineage: Bacteria
Description: partial 16S ribosomal RNA
Rfam family: Bacterial small subunit ribosomal RNA
Source: RNAcentral
UACGUAGGGGGCGAGCGUUGUCCGGAUUUAUUGGGCGUAAAGAGCGUGUAGGCGGCCAGGUAGGUCUGCUGUGAAAACUCGAGGCUCAACCUCGAGACGUCGGCGGAAACCAUCUGGCUAGAGUCCGGAAGAGGAGUGUGGAAUUCCUGGUGUAGCGGUGAAAUGCGCAGAUAUCAGGAGGAACACCAAUGGCGAAGGCAGCACUCUGGGACGUGACUGACGCUGAGACGCGAAAGCGUGGGGAGCAAACGGG